GAGGAUUUAGCUUAAUUAAAGUGGCUGGUUUGCAGCCAGUUGAUGUAAGAUGGAGUCUUGCAGUCCUUA
RNAcentral lists this transfer RNA (69 nucleotides) under Dugong dugon (dugong). RNAcentral's name for it is "tRNA-Ala". It matches the Rfam family "tRNA". From Rfam's summary of the family: Transfer RNA (tRNA) molecules are approximately 80 nucleotides in length. Their secondary structure includes four short double-helical elements and three loops (D, anti-codon, and T loops). The record is from RNAcentral. Lineage: Eukaryota; Metazoa; Chordata; Mammalia; Sirenia; Dugongidae.